CACUUUUUUUUACAUUUUAAUAUUGUAUGAUGUAUUUAAAUGAGCAGUUAUUGUUGCAAACUCCAUUAGAAAUUUGAAUUGAGAUCAGUUUUGGAAUAAGGGAAAGUUUUUCUCAUUUCAGAUUUCAUAAAUAAAAAUAAAAUUUCUUCAAAUAUUUUUUGAGAGGAUUAUUAUUCAACAGCAUAGUGAAUUGCUCAAAGGCAAUUUUUUUUUUUUAAGUUCAUUAGACCACAUUCAUUCUGUGACAGAAACCUAUGCUGUGUCAACUAUUUAAUCACAAUCCAAAUUUAGAGCUGAAUCCAGCUUGAAUGUUGUGUCCAUACUUUCCUCAACUGUUCAGGGUUCAACCUCUGCGGUCGUAUAAAGCUGCGCCCUGCGGAGCAUCUGGUUUAAUAUAGAACUAAUAACAUUCUUGACUAUAGAGAUGUUUGUUUUGGUAAAAAAACUUGCUGUUAAUAUAUUUCAGGUAGAAAUUUAAUGAAAGUUGGGAGGGGGAUUGCAUGUAAUGAUUUGCAGAACAGGAUAUAACCCCCUGGCGCAAUGUGAAAGGUCGUAAGGUUGUAAGUUCCUGGCAUGGAUGGAAUAAGCCUGUAAACUUGGCCUGCUGCAAAUCAAACUGCUUUUUAACACUUUUAUUGCUUGAUUGUUUUUGAUUUAAUGAUAUUGUACAGAUGUUUAACAACUUUAAGGAACCUAAAUAUCUUUAUAAAUAAAUUUAUGUAACCUA
Molecule: long non-coding RNA, 727 nt
Filed under: Mytilus galloprovincialis (Mediterranean mussel)
Lineage: Eukaryota; Metazoa; Mollusca; Bivalvia; Mytilida; Mytilidae
Source: RNAcentral